RNAcentral lists this ribosomal RNA (410 nucleotides) under uncultured Kineosporia sp. Its description in RNAcentral is "bacterial SSU rRNA". It matches the Rfam family "Bacterial small subunit ribosomal RNA", at positions 354 to 776 of the family's 1533-position model. The record is from RNAcentral. Lineage: Bacteria; Bacillati; Actinomycetota; Actinomycetes; Kineosporiales; Kineosporiaceae.
GUGGGGAAUAUUGCGCAAUGGGCGAAAGCCUGACGCAGCGACGCCGCGUGAGGGAUGAAGGCCUUCGGGUCGUAAACCUCUUUCAGCAGGGAAGAAGCGAGAGUGACGGUACCUGCAGAAGAAGCACCGGCUAACUACGUGCCAGCAGCCGCGGUAAUACGUAGGGUGCAAGCGUUGUCCGGAAUUAUUGGGCGUAAAGAGCUCGUAGGCGGUCUGUCGCGUCUGCUGUGAAAACCUAGGGCUUAACUCUGGGCGUGCAGUGGGUACGGGCAGGCUAGAGUGCGGUAGGGGAGACUGGAAUUCCUGGUGUAGCGGUGAAAUGCGCAGAUAUCAGGAGGAACACCGGUGGCGAAGGCGGGUCUCUGGGCCGUAACUGACGCUGAGGAGCGAAAGCAUGGGGAGCGAACAGG